This is a long non-coding RNA of Gorilla gorilla gorilla (western lowland gorilla), 1120 nucleotides long. RefSeq lists it as uncharacterized. The transcript has 2 exons. NCBI's taxonomy places the organism in Eukaryota, Metazoa, Chordata, Mammalia, Primates, Hominidae. The record is from RefSeq and is a predicted model, not a curated record.
UUAGGUGUGGAUCUAGGCUAAGGAAACUGAAUGCUGAGAUUUAUGGCAAUUUUGGGACUACUACAACUGACUAUGGAAAUGCUGUUAGACAAAAAGCAAAUUUGAGCAAUUUUCUCAUUUGAGUUCAAAAUAUGUCAUAAAACAGUGGAGACAACUCGGAACAUCAGUAAAGCAUUUGGCCCAGGAACUGUUACUGAACAUACAAUGUAGUGGCGGUUCAAGAAGUUUUGCAAAGGAGAUGAGAGCCUUGAAGAUGAGGAGCAUAGUGGCUGGCCAUCGAAGUUGACAACAACCAAUUGAGAGAAUCUUUGAAGCUGAUCCUCUUACAACUACACAAGAAGUUGCCUUAAAACUCAACACCAACCAUUCUAUGGUCAUUUGUAAUUUGAAGCAAAUUGGAAAGGUGAAAAAGCUUGAUAAGCGGGUGUCUCAUGAGCUGAGCAGAAAUUUAAAAAAAUCAUCAUUUUGAAGUGUCAUCUCUCAUUCUGUGCAGUGACAAUGAACCAUGUAUCAAUCGAAUUAUGAUGUACAACAAAAAGUGGAUUUUAUACAAUAACCAGUGAUGACCAGCUGAGUGGUUAGACCAAGAAGAAGCUCCAAAGCCCUUCCCAAAGCCAAACCUGCACGAGAAAAAGGUCAUGGUCACUGUUUGGUAGUCUGCUGCCAGUCUAAUCCGCUACAGCUUUCUGAAUUCUGGCAAAAGCAUUACAACUGAGAAGUAUGCUCAGCAAAUCAAUGAGAUGCACCAAAACCCACAAUGCCUGCAGUUGCCAUUUGCCAACAGAAAGGGCCCAAUUCUUCUCCACAACACCACCUGACUGCACGUUGCACAACCAAUGCUUCAACAGUUUAAUGAAUUGGGCUACGAAGUUUUGCCUCAUCUGUCAUACUCACCUGACCUCUCGCCAACCGACUACCACUUCUUCAAGCACCUCGACAACUUUUUGCAGCGAAAAUGCUUCCACAACCAGCAGGAAGCAGAAAAUGCUUCCCAAGGGUUCGCUGAAUCCCAAAGCAUGGAUUUUUACCCUACAGGAAUAAACAAACUUAUUUCUCAUUGGAAAAAACGUGUUCAUUGUAAUGAUUCCUGUUUUGGUUAAUAAAGGUGUGUUUGAACCUA